GCAUAUCAAUAAGCGGAGGAAAAGAAACCAACAGGGAUUGCCCUAGUAACGGCGAGUGAAGCGGCAACAGCUCAAAUUUGAAAUCUGGUCCUUUCAGGGCCCGAGUUGUAAUUUGCAGAGGAUGCUUCGGGUACGGGUGCCUACUGAGUUCCCUGGAACGGGACGCCAUAGAGGGUGAGAGCCCCGUCUAGUAGGAUACCCAGCCCAUGUGAAGCUCCCUCGACGAGUCGAGUAGUUUGGGAAUGCUGCUCUAAUGGGAGGUAUACUCCUUCCAAGGCUAAAUACCGGCUGGAGACCGAUAGCGCACAAGUAGAGUGAUCGAAAGAUGAAAAGCACUUUGAAAAGAGAGUCAAAUAGCACGUGAAAUUGUUGAAAGGGAAGCGCUCGCUACCAGACUUGAGUUAGGCGGUUCAACCGGGGCCACGCCCCGGGGCACUCCACCUGCUCAGGCCAGCAUCAGCUUUCCGUCGGGGGCAAAGGCGUCGGGAAUGUGGCUCUCCUCCGGGAGAGUGUUAUAGCCCGGCGUGUCAUACCCUUCGGGGGGCUGAGGUACGCGCUUCUGCAAGGAUGCUGGCGUAAUGGUAGCUAGUGACCCGUCUUGAAACACGGACCAAGGAGUCAACCUUAUGUGCGAGUGCCCGGGCGUAAAACCCCAGCGCGGAAUGAAAGUGAACGUAGGUGAGAGCUUCGGCGCAUCACCGACCGAUCCUGAUGUCCUCGGACGGAUUUGAGUGAGAGCAUAUAGGGUUGGACCCGAAAGAAGAUGAACUAUGCGUGUGUAGGGUGAAGCCAGAGGAAACUCUGGUGGAGGCUCGCAGCGGUUCUGACGUGCAAAUCGAUCGUCAAACAUGCCGCAUGGGGGCGAAAGACUAAUUCGAAUCUUCUGGUAGCUGGUUUCCGCCG
Molecule: ribosomal RNA, 903 nt
Filed under: Furcasterigmium furcatum
Lineage: Eukaryota; Fungi; Ascomycota; Sordariomycetes; Glomerellales; Plectosphaerellaceae
Description: partial large subunit ribosomal RNA
Rfam family: Eukaryotic large subunit ribosomal RNA
Source: RNAcentral